Molecule: ribosomal RNA, 207 nt
Filed under: uncultured bacterium
Lineage: Bacteria
Description: partial 16S ribosomal RNA
Rfam family: Bacterial small subunit ribosomal RNA
Source: RNAcentral
CGUGUAGGCGGUCUGCUAAGUCGAGUGUGAAAGCCCUGGGCUCAACCCAGGAAUUGCGCUCGAUACUGGCAAACUGGAGUACGGGAGAGGGUAGCGGAAUUCCCGGUGUAGAGGUGAAAUUCGUAGAUAUCGGGAGGAACACCAGUGGCGAAGGCGGCUACCUGGACCGAUACUGACGCUGAGACGCGAAAGCGUGGGUAGCAAACA